UGUUUAGAAAUACUGGUCUGGGUCCAUCCCUAAAAUGUCAGAAAAACAGAAAGACCAAGGAUGGAAUAGUCCGUGACUUGGGAAGGGAAGAAGGAAUCUACAAAAGCUCCGGAAAGAACAGUCAGUGGGACAUUGGCCAUGGAGCGCAACACAGAGGAGAUAAUUUUAGAGCAAACAGCACAUUCUACUAUUUUAUGGAUUGAAGAAGUGCCUGUCCCUUUGGAUUAUUCUGACUGACCAACCAGUGCAACACUGCAUCUGAAAGAAAAAACCGAAACCUUGCACAACUCUCAAGAACUUAACCCACAAAAUGAUUGUCAUGUUUAUCAAAACCUGAAAGUGGACAGCACCUGCAAAGAAGAGUGAUGAGCCUGGCACCUCGCUGUUUAAGAGUAAAGCCUACACCCUACGCCAUGCGGUGCAGCAAUAGAGCGGACGUCGCUGAAGUGUGCCACGAAGAACCAUGCAAGGUUAAAUCUCACCGUGAGUCUCCUCAGCCCGUCUCCAUGGCAACUGCCAAACAUCAGCACGCACCUUGUGUGUCCCCUACCACGCACAGUAAACCACCUCCCGUACCACAGAGUCGGAGAAAUUGUUCAUGGCUAAGUUGUGGACCAGAUGUCCAUCUUUACCCCCGUUCCCUGAGUUAGGAGGGGGUCAGUUAGCACACACCCCCUCUCGUGAGCCCCAAAAUAAGAGGCCAGUGCAGCAGGACCCAAGGCCCAGCCGUCAGCCCAUGUGCACCUGUCACGCUUGCGUCUUUAGUUCAUGGCAUCCAACAUCCAAGGGGAAAGGAUUUGUGUGUCAGACUGUGGUCCACUUAGAGAAAAGGGAUCACUACCCCACGCUCUCCACGGAAGCAUGUUCCAAAUGGAUUUGACAGCACAGGGGUGCAGGUAAGAGGUCACAUCACUUGGGAAAAGAUUCUCUGAACAUUACAUAAGAGGAAAAAUGAUAGCACUGGCAUAAAAGUUUAAAAACUCUAGACAUAGAAAACCAUAAGUAAAAUUAAAAAGGAAAAGACAAGCUUGAAAGAAGGACACGUGCCUAUUGCUGACCAAUAGCAAAGCAGACUUGGGUGUUCCAAGAGAGUGAUGAGGGGACCUCCCAAAGCCCAGUUUUCUCUCAUGAAAAAUGGUGGUUAUGAUAACGCACCUAAAGAGCUGAAUGCUUGCCAUGAGUUUGCAGUCCUCAAUAAAUGAUUUUGUUUUUCACUGUGUGUGUGUGUGUGUAUGUGUGUGCACCUUUACAAACCGACUGGCCCCACUUGCCUGGAAGUGGAUUUUAGCACAGAAAGCCGCGCAACCCGGGAACCUCCUCAGUCCAGGGCAAACCAGCUCAUCCUGCUGCGCACACACGGGGAAGAGCCCGCAAGACAAAAAGAGCCAAGGUUUC
Molecule: long non-coding RNA, 1395 nt
Organism: Choloepus didactylus (southern two-toed sloth)
Lineage: Eukaryota; Metazoa; Chordata; Mammalia; Pilosa; Megalonychidae
Exons: 4
Source: RefSeq, a predicted model, not a curated record